RNAcentral lists this ribosomal RNA (1534 nucleotides) under uncultured prokaryote. RNAcentral's name for it is "partial 16S ribosomal RNA". It matches the Rfam family "Bacterial small subunit ribosomal RNA". The record is from RNAcentral.
AGAGUUUGAUCAUGGCUCAGAUUGAACGCUGGCGGUAGGCUUAACACAUGCAAGUCGAACGGUAACAGAAAGUAGCUUGCUACUUUGCUGACGAGUGGCGGACGGGUGAGUAAUGCUUGGGUAUCUGCCCUGUUGUGGGGGAUAACAGUUGGAAACGACUGCUAAUACCGCAUAAUAUCUACGGAUCAAAGGGCCUCUUCUUGAAAGCUAUCGCGAUAGGAUGAACCCAAGUGGGAUUAGCUUGUUGGUGAGGUAAUGGCUCACCAAGGCGACGAUCCCUAGCUGGUCUGAGAGGAUGAUCAGCCACACUGGAACUGAGACACGGUCCAGACUCCUACGGGAGGCAGCAGUGGGGAAUAUUGCACAAUGGGCGAAAGCCUGAUGCAGCCAUGCCGCGUGUGUGAAGAAGGCCUUCGGGUUGUAAAGCACUUUCAGUUGGGAGGAAAGGUUGUUGGUUAAUAUCCAACAACUGUGACGUUACCAACAGAAGAAGCACCGGCUAACUCCGUGCCAGCAGCCGCGGUAAUACGGAGGGUGCGAGCGUUAAUCGGAAUUACUGGGCGUAAAGCGUACGCAGGCGGUUGGUUAAGCGAGAUGUGAAAUCCCCGGGCUCAACCUGGGAACUGCAUUUCGAACUGGCCAACUAGAGUAUUGGAGAGGGGAGUGGAAUUUCUGGUGUAGCGGUGAAAUGCGUAGAGAUCGGAAGGAACAUCAGUGGCGAAGGCGGCUAUCUGGACCAAUAUUGACGCUGAGGUGCGAAAGCGUGGGGAGCAAACAGGAUUAGAGACCCUGGUAGUCCACGCCGUAAACGAUGUCAACUAGCCGUUGGGGGGCUUGUCCUUUAGUGGCGCAGCUAACGCAUUAAGUUGACCGCCUGGGGAGUACGGCCGCAAGGCUAAAACUCAAAUGAAUUGACGGGGGCCCGCACAAGCGGUGGAGCAUGUUGUUUAAUUCGAUGCAACGCGAAGAACCUUACCAUCCCUUGACAUCCUAGGAACUUGGUAGAGAUACCUUGGUGCCUUCGGGAACCUAGUGACAGGUGCUGCAUGGCUGUCGUCAGCUCGUGUCGUGAGAUGUUGGGUUAAGUCCCGUAACGAGCGCAACCCUUAUCCUUAUUUGCCAGCGAGUAAUGUCGGGAACUCUAAGGAGACUGCCGGUGACAAACCGGAGGAAGGCGGGGACGAGGUCAAGUCAUCAUGGCCCUCACGGGAUGGGCUACAAACGUGCUACAAUGGGGGGCACAAAGGGCUGCAAACUCGCGAGAGUAAGCGAAUCCCAAAAAACCCCUCGUAGUCCGGAUAGGAGUCUGCAACUCGACUCCUUGAAGUCGGAAUCGCUAGUAAUCGCGAAUCAGAAUGUCGCGGUGAAUACGUUCCCGGGCCUUGUACACACCGCCCGUCACGUCAUGGAAGUGGGUUGCACCAGAAGUAGCUAGUCUAACCUUAGGGAGGACGGUUACCACGGUGUGAUUCAUGACUGGGACGAAGUCGUAACAAGGUAGCCGUAGGGGAACCUGCGGCUGGAUCACCUCCUU